AUAAAAAAGCACGGGAGCUUGGGAUUCACCAGGCUGAGAGGAUGGUACUGUGCCAUCGACCGUUGAACCUGAACUGGGUAAUGCCAGCGGAGGAAUGUCAUAUACGACACGAA
Molecule: non-coding RNA, 113 nt
Filed under: Brevibacillus brevis
Lineage: Bacteria; Bacillati; Bacillota; Bacilli; Caryophanales; Paenibacillaceae
Also listed under: 1 other name
Description: TPP sequence
Rfam family: TPP riboswitch aptamer (THI element)
About the family: Vitamin B(1) in its active form thiamin pyrophosphate (TPP) is an essential coenzyme that is synthesised by coupling of pyrimidine and thiazole moieties in bacteria. The previously detected thiamin-regulatory element, thi box was extended, resulting in a new, highly conserved RNA secondary structure, the THI element, which is widely distributed in eubacteria and also occurs in some archaea.
Source: RNAcentral